UAAGGAAUAUUGGACAAUGGUCGCAAGACUGAUCCAGCCAUGCCGCGUGCAGGAAGACGGCCCUAUGGGUUGUAAACUGCUUUUGUACCAGAGAAAACCUAUCUACGUGUAGAUAGCUGAUAGUAUGGUAAGAAUAAGCAUCGGCUAACUUCGUGCCAGCAGCCGCGGUAAGACGAAGGAUGCAAGCGUUAUCCGGAUUCAUUGGGUUUAAAGGGUGCGUAGGCGGGCUUGUAAGUCAGUGGUGAAAUCUCUCAGCUUAACUGAGAAACUGCCAUUGAUACUGCAGGCCUAGAGUAUAGAUGACGUUGGCGGAAUAUGACAUGUAGUGGUGAAAUACUUAGAUAUGUCAUAGAACACCGAUUGCGAAGGCAGCUAACGAGACUAUAACUGACGCUGAGGCACGAAAGUGCGGGGAUCAAACA
RNAcentral lists this ribosomal RNA (422 nucleotides) under uncultured bacterium. RNAcentral describes it as "bacterial SSU rRNA". It matches the Rfam family "Bacterial small subunit ribosomal RNA", at positions 355 to 774 of the family's 1533-position model. The record is from RNAcentral.